GGGAAAUGUAUCACACCCGCUGCCUUCAUGCUUCCAAAGAAGAAAAAUCCAGAGCAGGGGCAAGAAAGCGCCGGCAGCGACUCUGCAGGCUCAGGGCUGAGGACCCGGUAAUGAAGUCUUUCUGGAAGAUAAAGAUCUUGUGCUCACAGCUUCGGCUUGUUGACCUUGUCAGGACUGCUGUGCUGUCUGGAAAUUGGUCCCAGAGAGAGAAAAGGGCAUUGUUGUUAGGGGCUGCUUGGUGGAUUGGGUUUUCGGUUCUCCCAGCAGAAAGGAGCUCAGUUUGCCAAAUAUAAAUAAAUAAAAACCUUCUCCUCAAAACA
Long non-coding RNA from Mesocricetus auratus (golden hamster), 320 nucleotides. RefSeq lists it as uncharacterized. The transcript is spliced from 2 exons. NCBI's taxonomy places the organism in Eukaryota, Metazoa, Chordata, Mammalia, Rodentia, Cricetidae. The record is from RefSeq and is a predicted model, not a curated record.